This 789-nucleotide ribosomal RNA is filed under the name uncultured Rubrobacter sp. Its description in RNAcentral is "bacterial SSU rRNA". It matches the Rfam family "Bacterial small subunit ribosomal RNA", at positions 8 to 796 of the family's 1533-position model. Lineage: Bacteria; Bacillati; Actinomycetota; Rubrobacteria; Rubrobacterales; Rubrobacteraceae. The record is from RNAcentral.
AGAGUUUGAUCCUGGCUCAGGAUAAACGCUGGCGGCGUGCCUAAUGCAUGCAAGUCGAACGGGGUCCCUUCGGGGAUUUACGUGGCGGACGGGUGAGGAACACGUGGGGAAUCUGCCCUGAGGUGGGGGGUAGCCCGUGGAAACACGGGGUAAUUCCGCAUAGCCUCUUCUGCUAGUAGGGCGGGAGAGGAAAGCCUUCGGGCGCCUUGGGAGGAGCCUGCGGUCCAUUAGUUAGUUGGUGGGGUAACGGCCUACCAAGGCGACGAUGGAUAGCUGGUCUGAGAGGAUGAUCAGCCACACUGGGACUGAGACACGGCCCAGACUCCUACGGGAGGCAGCAGUCGGGAAUCUUGCGCAAUGGGCGAAAGCCUGACGCAGCAACACCGUGUGGGCGACGAAGGCCUUCGGGUCGUAAAGCCCUGUUGUUGGGGACGAAGGGCGAAGGGUUAAUAGCCCCUAGCCUGACGGUACCCUUCGAGGAAGCCCCGGCUAACUACGUGCCAGCAGCCGCGGUAAUACGUAGGGGGCGAGCGUUGUCCGGAAUUAUUGGGCGUAAAGAGCGUGUAGGCGGUUCGGUAAGUCUGCCGUGAAAACCCGGGGCUCAACCCCGGGCGUGCGGUGGAUACUGCCGGGCUAGAGGGUGGUAGAGGCGAGUGGAAUUCCCGGUGUAGCGGUGAAAUGCGCAGAUAUCGGGAGGAACACCAGUAGCGAAGGCGGCUCGCUGGGCCAUUCCUGACGCUGAGACGCGAAAGCUAGGGGAGCGAACAGGAUUAGAUACCCCGGUAGUCC